RNAcentral lists this ribosomal RNA (474 nucleotides) under Escherichia coli. RNAcentral describes it as "bacterial SSU rRNA". It matches the Rfam family "Bacterial small subunit ribosomal RNA", at positions 1 to 470 of the family's 1533-position model. Lineage: Bacteria; Pseudomonadati; Pseudomonadota; Gammaproteobacteria; Enterobacterales; Enterobacteriaceae. The record is from RNAcentral.
AAAUUGAAGAGUUUGAUCAUGGCUCAGAUUGAACGCUGGCGGCAGGCCUAACACAUGCAAGUCGAACGGUAACAGGAAGCAGCUUGCUGUUUCGCUGACGAGUGGCGGACGGGUGAGUAAUGUCUGGGAAACUGCCUGAUGGAGGGGGAUAACUACUGGAAACGGUAGCUAAUACCGCAUAACGUCGCAAGACCAAAGAGGGGGGACCUUCGGGCCUCUUGCCAUCGGAUGUGCCCAGAUGGGAUUAGCUUGUUGGUGGGGUAACGGCUCACCAAGGCGACGAUCCCUAGCUGGUCUGAGAGGAUGACCAGCCACACUGGAACUGAGACACGGUCCAGACUCCUACGGGAGGCAGCAGUGGGGAAUAUUGCACAAUGGGCGCAAGCCUGAUGCAGCCAUGCCGCGUGUAUGAAGAAGGCCUUCGGGUUGUAAAGUACUUUCAGCGGGGAGGAAGGGAGUAAAGUUAAUACCUUU